CAAUAGCGUAUAUUAAAGUUGUUGCAGUUAAAAAGCUCGUAGUUGGAUUUCUGGUAGGAGUGACCGUUCCGAACUUGAUUGUUCGUGUAUUGUGUUUUCUCCAGCCAUCCUUGUGGAGAACUUUUCUUGCAUUAAUUUGUAGGGAUUGGGACCCGCAUCGUUUACUGUGAAAAAAUUAGAGUGUUUAAAGCAGGCAAUCGCUUGAAUACACUAGCAUGGAAUAAUAAGAUAGGACUUUGGUACUAUUUUGUUGGUUUGCAUACCAAAUUAAUGAUCAACAGGAACAGUUUGAGGAUAUUCGUAUGAACAUGUCAGAGGUGAAAUUCUUGGAUUUUGAUCAGACGAACUACUGCGAAAGCAUUUAUCAAGGAUGUUUUCAUUAA
This 383-nucleotide ribosomal RNA is filed under the name uncultured eukaryote. Its description in RNAcentral is "partial 18S ribosomal RNA". It matches the Rfam family "Eukaryotic small subunit ribosomal RNA", at positions 592 to 976 of the family's 1831-position model. The record is from RNAcentral.